AGUCAUGACCCAGCCCUAAAGGGUUAUGGGCUCCGGCAAGCAGUUAGUUACUCACUCUCUCCUUUCUGGUCUAAAUUGGGUUGGAAUAUAUAUCAAAGGAAGCCAGAAAGUGGUUGGGGAGAUUAAAAAAAACAACAACAACAACGUUUAGACUGAAUGUCUUGACGGUCCAUCCAUUCACUUCUGCUUUGAAAAUGGCAUUGUUAUGAGAAAAGUCAUUUUAUUUUCAUUCUUAAAAGGACUUCAUGCAUGAGAUUGCCACUUCACAGAGUAUUUAUCAAACAUGGACAAGCUUAUUUUUAAUCACUGUGUUGAAAGGCAGAAAUUACUUCAUCAGAUUCGUUUUGCUGCUACCUCAAAGACCUAACUGCAGCACCUCAAAGAAAUGAGAAAUUUCAUGAGUAGAGGAAGGAAAGGAACCAGGGAGAUCAGAAAAGACCAGGAUGAAAGUAAAACAGAUUGCUCCCAUAAUGUGGGUGAGCCUCGGCCAGUCAAUUGGAAGGAAGCCUCAAUAGCAUAAAAGACUGCCAUCCCCAGAGUAAGAGGGAAUUCUGCCCGCAAACUGCUUAUGAACUCCAACUGCAGUUCUCUCCUGAGUUACCAGCCUGCAUCCUCCUCCAUCAGAUUUUGGACUCAUCAAGCCUCCACAAUCAUAUAAAGGUGACCCUAGAAGCAUGGCCAUAAACUACCUCAAGAAUGGACAUCUUCAACCAAGUCAAUUAGCAGCAACUGUCCAAAUAUCUGGAACAAGAACAGCAAGAACAGUAGCUGUUGCUCAGAACACAAAAGAGAAGAUAAGCCCAAAAGAUAGACUGUGUGAACUGAACAGGCUUCUUCACAGCCUUUCCCACACUUGCUGGUAUCACAGAGGUGAUGCAACCUGAGGCUCAAGCAUGAUAUCAAUGCCCAACUGAUGCUGCAUGAAGUAACACUCACUCUUCUGUGGAUACUGGAACAGAUGCUUUUGGUGCUCACAUUACAUCCCUGGACCCCCUUCUGAAUCCUGUGCAGUUGUGUGGACAGUUCCAUGUAGGCUUUUUGCUCUUCUGCCUCAGGGCUUUCAUCAAAGUCAGGGCAGCCUAGUCAGCUCAGAAAGCGAGUGUGGGGGAGCUUUGCAGUGAAAGCUAAGCUACCAGGGGCAACUCUCAACCCAUGACGGGUGGAGCUACAACAUUAUUUUAGUCUGCACAGUUAAGUCACAAAAGGUGAAGCAUAAAGACAGAAAGGCAAAUAUUAGGACAAAACACAUAAUCAUCCAAAAUUUGGAUGGUGCCAGGGAAAGGAAUGAGAAAUGGAACAAUAUGUAUUUUGUCAUUGCUUAUAGUAAGGAAUUAACAGUCUUUCAAAAGAAAUACAGGAUUAAGGACAUUGUAUAAUGUCAAUCAUACAGAACAAAUAUGAAAACCUUUUAAGUCAUAAGAAUUAAGAUAGCCACAAAGCAAAGAAAAUACAGAUCUUAUAGAAAACCAUACAAAGUAAGAAUAAAAACUGAGAUGAAGGUGGUGUAAAAUAUUACAUACUUCUAAGAUCAAACAUUAUUUUCACAUUAAUAAAUGUAUUAAUGGACAAAUUUGCCUAUUCAAAAUCCCAAAAAAAGAUUUUUUUUUUUGGAAAUUGUAAAGCUAAAUUUAAUUGUAGGCUUUAUACAACAGAUACUUAAAACAAAAAAACAAAAUAAGAAAAGUUGUAAAUUAAAUUAUGGGAAAAUGCAUGUGAGAAAAAUGCAAGCAAACAAUUAGGAAAGCAGGGGUUACAACCUUAGUAUUAGAAAAAGUAAAUAGGA
This 1783-nucleotide long non-coding RNA is filed under the name Homo sapiens (human). Its description in RNAcentral is "non-protein coding lnc-TNFAIP6-3:3". The record is from RNAcentral. Lineage: Eukaryota; Metazoa; Chordata; Mammalia; Primates; Hominidae.